This 247-nucleotide ribosomal RNA is filed under the name uncultured bacterium. RNAcentral describes it as "partial 16S ribosomal RNA". It matches the Rfam family "Bacterial small subunit ribosomal RNA", at positions 523 to 769 of the family's 1533-position model. The record is from RNAcentral.
AUACGUAGGGGGCAAGCGUUAUCCGGAUUUACUGGGUGUAAAGCGCAUGUAGGCGGACAUUUAAGUCAGGGGUGAAAUCCCGGGGCUCAACCUCGGAACUGCCUUUGAUACUGGGUGUCUAGAGUGUGGAAGAGGUAAGUGGAAUUCCGAGUGUAGAGGUGAAAUUCGUAGAUAUUCGGAGGAACACCAGUGGCGAAGGCGGCUUACUGAUCCAUUACUGACGCUGAGGUGCGAAAGCGUGGGGAGC